This 389-nucleotide ribosomal RNA is filed under the name uncultured bacterium. RNAcentral describes it as "bacterial SSU rRNA". It matches the Rfam family "Bacterial small subunit ribosomal RNA", at positions 29 to 414 of the family's 1533-position model. The record is from RNAcentral.
AUUGAACGCUGGCGGCAUGCUUUACACAUGCAAGUCGAACGGCAGCACGGGGGCGAACCCUGGUGGCGAGUGGCGAACGGGUGAGUAACACAUCGGAACGUGCCCAGUUGUGGGGGAGUAACCUAUCGAAAGGUAGGCUAAUACCGCAUGAGCUCGGUAAGAGGAAAGCGGGGGACUCAGCGAUGGGCCUCGCGCGACUGGAGCGGCCGAUGUCCGAUUAGCUAGNGGUGGGGUAAAGGCUUACCAAGGCGACGAUCGGUAGCUGGUCUGAGAGGAUGAUCAGCCACACUGGGACUGAGACACGGCCCAGACUCCUACGGGAGGCAGCAGUGGGGAAUUUUGGACAAUGGGGCAACCCUGAUCCAGCCAUGCCGCGUGAGUGAAGAGGG